UUCAUAGCAACAGAGACCCUAACCGAGACAGAAGUUGGAACCAGGAGUAGAGUAUUGCUGUGAUAGGCCUGACCUUGCUUUUGUUUGGAGGAAUGUGGACUUUGGGACUUUGGAAAGCAGUGGAAUGUUUGAAGUGGGGCUUAAUGGGCUGUCCUAGCAGGGGUAUGGAAGACUUUGUGGCUGAGGGUGAUUUGAACUGUGCAGACCUGGCCCAAGGGGUUUCAGUGGAGAAGAACUUUAGUAUGUGGCCUAGAGACUGUCGUGGUAUCUUUGGUGAAGAAUGUGGCUGCUUUCUGCCCUUGUCGGAAGAGUCCACCUGAGGCUAAGGUUAGCUGAAUGAGAUAGAAGGCAUGUUUUCCCUCUGAAUCGCACGCCGCAUACAAACGACCUCGUCAUUGACAAGGCUGUCAUUGCUGAAGGUUAAGUGUUUGGCUCAGCUCCCUCCGUCUAAAAACUAUGCUCUAUAAAAUGUUAAUCUGCUUUUGUUUAUUUUUGAGCCCCAAAGAUACUUGAGUAGACAGACACAGUUUCCUCGUCUUAUAUAACCGUGAAAAUGCUUUUUUUUUUUUAAUUGGCAAAGCAUAUCACAGCUUAUCUGGUCCAAUUCCUCAACUGAUAGAAAAAGAGGGUUCUAAAAACAACUGGGCAAAAAUAGAAAUAUUAUAAACGGAAUCACAUUUUUUUUUUUUUUUUUUUUUACUUAGCGGGCAAGCUUGCUCUCAGAGUCUGUGUAAAAGCUUCUGGAAGGGGAACAAUCAGCAGCCGUGAAAGCCAUACCCACCGGAAGGACUAAUCUGCUCGCUGACAAAACCACUCAGCUUUUGACUGACCUGUUAGGAAAUCACAGCUUGACUGGACGAUUACUUACAUCAGUCCCUGUGCUCAGCGACACCGUACUCCUCUUGUUUAAUCCUUGCCAUAGACCUAAAGGCAAGCUACUGCGAGUGUCCUGGUUAUAAAAUGAGGCUAUGAGUUUUCGGGAGAUUAAUGAACAAUGCAUUUAUCGUUAGCUGUCUGUCUGUUUGCCUGUUUUUCUGUCUGUUUGUGUGUGUGUCUGUGUGUCUGUGUGUCUGUGUGUCUGUUGUUUGUUUGUUUUUGAAAUAGGGUCCCAUACAGUCCAGCCUGGCCUUAAAGUCCUGACAUACCCGCUUCUAACUCCCCAGUGGAAUUGGGGAUUGAAGAGAUGUGCCACUGCACCCAGCAUCGAGGACAGCAUUAUAAACCACAAAUCACACACAACAAAAUUUCUCAUGUGAUGUGACUAACCUCACUUACAGCUUAGAUACUUUGUUUGGUUAGGAGUAGAGUGGUGGAUUCCACUUCUGCAGUGAUUCAAAGAUCCAGAAAUUCCUAAUUAAAGGAAUAGGAGAGAAAAUGAACCAGUGUGAAAGUCGGGUUGUAAGGCAGAUAUUAGGAGCUCUGGAGGUCACUGAGAACAACUCCAUCAUCAGCGUUAGACCCCACCUCUCAUUUACCUGGUACCCUUAGAAAGGGAAGCUUCACCAUUGCUCCCCCUUAAGAUUUAAGAUACAGGGAGUCGAGGGAUGGCUCAGAGGUUAAAAGCACUGGCUGCUUCUCCAGAGGUUCUGAGAUCAGCUCCCAGAAAUCACAUGGUGGCUCACAACCAUCUGUAAUGGGAUCUGAUGCCCCCUUAUGGCCUGCAGGUGUAUGUACAAAUAAAGUACUCAGACAUAAAAUACAUAAAUAAAUAAAUCUCCUAAAAAGGAUUUAAGAUACAAUAUGGCGAUAGGAGGACCUUUGUUGAGUUGCUGAAGAAGAGCUACUUCAGACUGGGGUAGUGGGUUGUUGGAAAACUGUGUCCACCAGAAACCAUCCAGAGAACCUACAGAGUUCAGUGUGUGGCCGACAUCGGUAAGCCCAGCAAUCCUUCCCUGAGAGGGGAGGUGGAGACAGAAGAAUCAUCCCGAAGCCAAGAACCAGAUAACCUGGAGUCAACUACUCAGCGGCAGGAACAAAAGAGACCCUGCCUCAACCGGGUGGGAGGUGAGAAUGUUCCUGACUUCUCCGCUCAUUCUGUGCCACGCACACAGCACAUUUAGCUAAAAAAUGUUUAAGGAAAACUCCUUCCUCUUAGUCAAGAGUUCUAGCUUUGACUCUAGGUGGAAACAUGACUUCCUAAACUUACAAAAACAAUACACCCUACCAUCUCCUUCCUUGACAAUUAAUCCACAAUCCAACUGGACCUGAUCGAGAGACCACCCCUCAGAAAAGCUGAUUUACCACACACAUGCUAGGGAGAAGGGAGGAGUAAUUAUCCCUUUGAUGGCACAAUGCACUUAUACACCCAGGAGACCUCCCUCUGGGCAGUUGCAUACAGAUCUUCACUCUGUCUCAACUCCUCUUCCCUCACUUCCUCUCACUGAGAAGGAAGCAACUCCAGAAAGACCAAAGCUCUUUCCCACAGACCCACUGGAGCCAAGACUGUGUCCAAUUAAGCCACUCAUUUUGACUCUGUGUGACCAGAGUCAAAAUUUAACUCUACAUUCUCUGAGGCCACCCCCCAGUGAGAUGAGGAUGAUAACACCUGCUUCUCAAGACAGCACGAAAGUUUGUGAAACAAUCUCCCCGGGUGUGCUGUGGAGAUCUUCAGGUCCUUUCCUAACAUAUUUUUUUUUCUUAAAGGAAAAGAAAGAGACUCUUAAUCACAUGGCCCUGCUGUCUGUCCAUCUGAAAGCUGACUUGUCAUCUUGAAACCUUGUAGGCUAAACUCAUAGAGGGCUUUGCAGGGAAGGAGCUGGUUUGGGGUGACAGAGUUGUGAGGGACACUUGGUGACCUCAGAAGGGAAGGGUGUAACAUAAUGCCUUUUUAAGGAAAAGGAAAAUAUUACAAGACUCUGCUGACUUGUACAAAGUCUUCCUUACUCAACCAUUCUAGGUACAAAGUUAGGAGUCUCCAGGCCAGCAUUUCUGAUAGACACAGGUGACUAACCAUCUUCUCUGACACUUUGUGUAUAGUGGGGAGUUUGCCUUGGUCUCUCCAGGCUGCCCCUGAGCAAGGCUGACACUGUUUUCACUUGGCAAGCACACACAGGGCUGCAAAGCUCAGGUCCUUCUCUUCUUCCAGCUGGCUGGACAGGGGCUCACCCAGCCAGCAGCACAAACUGAGGGUAGGAUACUGGAAGGAUGGGAGAGACAUUCACACAGCUUGUCUGACUUUGGAUGUGCCUAGGUUUGGUAAACUGUCAUUCUAAGCUUACCUCGGACCACUGAUGGACAUGAUGAGCUUACAGCUUGGUAGAUCUCAUCACAUCUCCCAAGGGAUAAUUUUGGCUAAAUGGCCAUUUGGUGCCUCUUUGAAACUUUCAUUUUGUUUUAAUGAUUGGAUUCCUAUAUUAUUUAGUAAGGGUGGGGGGCAUACAUGUUCCGUGACGUAUGUGUGGAGGUCAGAGGGCAAACUGCUGGGGCAGUUUUCUUCUCCUAUCGUGUGGCUCCUGGGGACUGAGCUCGAGCCAUCUGUCAACAUCAGCAGCUGCUAAGCCAUCUUGUUAGCAGCCUGUUUUACUUUUGAUGCACAGGUCUCCGCCAUAGAUGGCUCGCAUGCUGGGUAGGAGUGGGUCUCAGUGGGACUCCCCUGAGCUUAUCCUCUGCAGGGGAUUAUUGCUCACCAUUGAACACCUCCAUGCUCUAGCGUCUGCUGGGUCUAGACUCAGCUAACAGGGUUGCUGGGAGACAUUAAGAGAGGGCAGCCCUGGCAUCGAAGCUCUUGUGAAUGCAGAUGGAGCACGAGUGAAAGAGAAAAUGGAGCUGCUCUCUGCUGGAUCCUCAGGCCUUUUCAUCUUCUUAUUUUACUUUUUAUCGUUGUUAUCUUAAGGGUUGUUUUGUUUCGAGUCAGGAUCGGCUGGAUGGCCUGGAACUCAGCAGGCUGGCCUUAGACUUGUCGUGACCCUCCUGCCUCUGUCUCUCAAGGGUUGAGACUACAGGGCCCUUUGUUUCCAUACCUGCCUAACAGCAAGUUUCCUCAGGGCAGGCUCGGAAUUCCAGCUCCUCAGCCUACUGCCAUUUGAGCCCAGCCAAUUCCCUUUCCACCUUGAGGCUUCUUGUCCUCCCCUAAGAAGGUGGGACAGUAAUCAGCCCACAGUGCAGUGGUGAGCAGACACAGGGAUAUCUCAGCACUCCCUCAGAACCACGCUCAUUCCUCUCGCCUCUGACCCUCUAACAAAAGCUCCCGGACUCCGGUCUCAGCGCCUAGUAAAUCUGCUAAUGUGCCAGUGGGUAUAGACGAGUGCAUGGAGUCCUCGGGGGAACAUGUGGUUAACACGUGUGCAUUUUAAUAGGGCUCUUUUACAGCGGUUCUAAUGCUCUGUGGAUUGUCUGGGGCCAUGAGGGUUGUUCUCUCAGGUUGUAAACUCGCCGCUACUGGUUCCACCUUCUUCUAAGUCUGUUCUACAAGUCGUCGGGGAUGUGGCUCAUGCGCGGGGUGUGCACGUACUGGUUAAUUGGGAAAGCUUGAUUGGGUUUGGAAUCACCUAGGAGAUACGUUUCGAAGUUUGCAAGGGUGUUUCGAGAGAGGUUCAACUGAGGAGGAAGCGUUUACCCUAAAUGUGGGUCGCACCAUCAAAUGGACGGAGGUCCCAGACCAAAUAAAAAGUGGGAAAGCGAGGGUGGGGGAAUGGGAGGGGGACUACAGAGAUGGGUCACUGACUGCUCUUCUAAAGGUCCUGAGUUCAGUUCCCAGCAACCGCAUGGUGGCUCACAACCAUCUGUAAUGAGAUCUGAUGUCCUCUUCUGGUGUGUGUUUGAAGACAGCUGCACUGUACUCGUAUACAUAAAAUAAAUAAUUGUUUUUUAAAAGGAGGUGGGGAAAGCUAGCUGAACAUGCUUCUGUGCUUCCUGAAUGCAGAUGUGAUGUGAACAGGUCCCUCACCCUCCCAUCCCUUCCCUGCCAUCACAGACUGCACUACUCGGACAGAGCCAAAAUAAGCCUUUCCUCGCUUAAAAUGAUUCUCACUGGGUCACAACUAAGAAAAAAAAAUAACAAAAAACCAGUGUAUUCACUCAAUAAAUACAUAUUGUUUAUAUGCUGUA
This is a non-coding RNA of Rattus norvegicus (Norway rat), 5046 nucleotides long. Lineage: Eukaryota; Metazoa; Chordata; Mammalia; Rodentia; Muridae. The record is from RefSeq and is a predicted model, not a curated record.